CCAAUGAAGGAUCUGAAGAAAGCUUGAGCCAAAAUCGCAACCUAAUCGAACAGUAACCUUCUAGAGGCAGCAGUCGGGGGGCAGGUAGCUUGGAUUGCCGAACCCAAAAUCCUUUCCGUAACCGGCUGAAGUAGAGAAGGUAGGUAGGCGAUGAAAACGCUAUUGAU
Gammaproteobacteria bacterium is the source of this 167-nucleotide non-coding RNA. The record is from Rfam. NCBI's taxonomy places the organism in Bacteria, Pseudomonadati, Pseudomonadota, Gammaproteobacteria.